UUCAUUUCAGAAGCAAAUAUACUAAAAUUAGAAUGAUGCAGAGAUUAGAAUGGCCCCUGAGCAAGGAUGACACACAAAUUUGUGAAUCCUUCCAUAUUUUU
Molecule: small nuclear RNA, 101 nt
Filed under: Catagonus wagneri (Chacoan peccary)
Lineage: Eukaryota; Metazoa; Chordata; Mammalia; Artiodactyla; Tayassuidae
Source: RNAcentral